This 73-nucleotide transfer RNA is filed under the name Ailuropoda melanoleuca (giant panda). It matches the Rfam family "tRNA". Rfam says of the family: Transfer RNA (tRNA) molecules are approximately 80 nucleotides in length. Their secondary structure includes four short double-helical elements and three loops (D, anti-codon, and T loops). The record is from Rfam by way of RNAcentral. Lineage: Eukaryota; Metazoa; Chordata; Mammalia; Carnivora; Ursidae.
GCCUGGAGGGCUCAGUGAGUAGAGCAUGAGACUCUUGACCUCAGGGUUGUGAGUUCAAAUCCCAUAUGGGGCA